RNAcentral lists this non-coding RNA (24 nucleotides) under Cricetulus griseus (Chinese hamster). The record is from RNAcentral. Lineage: Eukaryota; Metazoa; Chordata; Mammalia; Rodentia; Cricetidae.
UAGAGAACCGAGCCAUGAAAGACG